RNAcentral lists this long non-coding RNA (472 nucleotides) under Olea europaea (common olive). RNAcentral describes it as "long non-coding RNA (OEUR_LNC001407)". The record is from RNAcentral. Lineage: Eukaryota; Viridiplantae; Streptophyta; Magnoliopsida; Lamiales; Oleaceae.
UCUCAGGCCUCAGCCGAAUACGGAAGAGAAAUCUCAACAAAUUCGGUUGAAAAUUAUGGCGGCCUUUCUUCAUCUUUCUACGAUUUCCUGCUCAUUCUCUGAUUUGCUUUCUUACAAUAAGCAAAUCCUCACCUUCUAGUAUACCUAUUACAGAAAUAUGCUUCUGGGAUUAGAUGUGGUUUAACACUUACAUACUAUAUCGGAAUUUGGUGUUGGAUUAGUUUAACACUUACCCACUAUAUGUGCAAUGACAAGCAGCAUUGACUCCGCUUCAUACACCUCCUUAAUCACUUUCAAUAUUUUCCCUUCUCUUUCUAAAUAAAGAAAUUGCUCAUGUAUGAGGCAGCUAGCGAGCUGAUGUUUGGUGGGUCUCGAUUUUCUGGAAUAACAGCAAGUCUUUUUCCUUUCUCGGGUUUUUCAUUUUCUUCUUCUUGUGCACAUGCUUUUCCCUUCAAUUUAUAACUCCCCAUUG